Molecule: long non-coding RNA, 673 nt
Filed under: Homo sapiens (human)
Lineage: Eukaryota; Metazoa; Chordata; Mammalia; Primates; Hominidae
Description: non-protein coding lnc-SP140-3:3
Source: RNAcentral
UCUGAAGGCUAGUCUGGCUUAAAACUACCAGUUUCAGCGGCUUGCAAUUUUCUCUUAUAUUUGGGUGGGGAAGAUUUUUCAGUUUUCCCUUAGAGACACUUUCCCUUGUGGGGCAUGAUAGUGUGUUCCUCGUUGCAGAAGGACCCCUGUAUGCAGAAGUAGAGGCGCUGGCCUCAGGCUCCUCCACUUCCUCUUGGACAGAAGACGCUGAGCAUUUUUUCAGGAAGUGGUCACCCCAGUGGUCCCCGGCUUUCUCAGACUUCCUGCAGCUCUCUACACAGUGAAUCACAGUGAGACACUGGCAGCAGGCACCACGGAAGGGACCCUCAAAUCUGAAGGCUCAAGGUCCUGGGAAAAGAUGAAGUGGAGCAUGCCUCUUGUUUCCUCCUAUUAGAUGCUGAGUGUUGGAAGUUCUUCCUAGGAUUCACAAAGAAACUCCUGCUCUUCUUCCACAUACUUUUUCCUGGGAAAGAAAACUUGUUUCACUGGCAGAAAAGAUCCCCACUGUUAAAGUGAGGUAAGGAUAUCUCAUGUCAGGGUAGGCAUCUGCAUUCUCACUUUGAUUUCUGCUUGAAGCUGAUUCUCAGCUCUGCACUUUGAGAAAUUUGAUUUUACCUGACCUAUGCCCUUCUGGAAUUUAUUGGGAAAUAGAAUUAAGCCUGGAAGAAAGUUC